UACGUAGGGGGCAAGCGUUGUCCGGAAUCAUUGGGCGUAAAGCGCGUGUAGGCGGUUCGAUAAGUCUGCUGUGAAAGUCCAGGGCUCAACCCUGGGAUGCCGGUGGAUACUGUCGGGCUAGAGUGCGGAAGAGGCGAGUGGAAUUCCCGGUGUAGCGGUGAAAUGCGCAGAUAUCGGGAGGAACACCUAUGGCGAAGGCAGCUCGCUGGGACGUUACUGACGCUGAGACGCGAAAGCGUGGGGAGCAAACAGG
Molecule: ribosomal RNA, 253 nt
Filed under: uncultured bacterium
Lineage: Bacteria
Description: partial 16S ribosomal RNA
Rfam family: Bacterial small subunit ribosomal RNA
Source: RNAcentral